AUGCAGAAGCAGGGAAGGCCGGCGAGGGGCUUGGGCGCGAGUACUUGGGGCUCCGGUGAGAUGGGAAGUCCGGCAACGACGGGGAGGGUCGGGACCCGACGGAUCCGAUGCGAAGGAGGUCGAGGAGGGCCGAGGCGAAGCACUGGCGUUCUCCUCUGCUCGAAACAAAGCAAGCAGCGAUUGGCGAAACAAGCUUCAGGCGCCGGGGAGGAGCAGGCGGGGCGCUGGCAGGCACGGGACGUGGCGGUUCGACGUAGUUCACCGGGACGACGGCAGCAGGCGGCGGACUUGACGCGGAGGCUGAAGAUGGCGGGGUUGAGGAGGAGCUGA
This 330-nucleotide ribosomal RNA is filed under the name Triticum aestivum (bread wheat). RNAcentral describes it as "partial small subunit ribosomal RNA". Lineage: Eukaryota; Viridiplantae; Streptophyta; Magnoliopsida; Poales; Poaceae. The record is from RNAcentral.